RNAcentral lists this ribosomal RNA (433 nucleotides) under uncultured bacterium. RNAcentral's name for it is "partial 16S ribosomal RNA". It matches the Rfam family "Bacterial small subunit ribosomal RNA", at positions 29 to 507 of the family's 1533-position model. The record is from RNAcentral.
AACGAACGCUGGCGGCAUGCCUAACACAUGCAAGUCGAACGAGACCUUCGGGUCUAGUGGCGCACGGGUGCGUAACGCGUGGGAACCUGCCCUUAGGUUCGGAAUAACUCCCCGAAAGGGGUGCUAAUACCGGAUAAUGUCUUCGGACCAAAGAUUUAUCGCCUUUGGAUGGGCCCGCGUUGGAUUAGCUAGUUGGUAGGGUAAAAGCCUACCAAGGCGACGAUCCAUAGCUGGUCUGAGAGGAUGAUCAGCCACACUGGGACUGAGACACGGCCCAGACUCCUACGGGAGGCAGCAGUGGAGAAUAUUGGACAAUGGGCGAAAGCCUGAUCCAGCAAUGCCGCGUGAGUGAUGAAGGCCUUAGUGUUGUAAAGCUCUUUUACCCGGGAUGAUAAUGACAGUACCGGGAGAAUAAGCUCCGGCUAACUCCGUG